RNAcentral lists this ribosomal RNA (484 nucleotides) under uncultured bacterium. RNAcentral's name for it is "partial 16S ribosomal RNA". It matches the Rfam family "Bacterial small subunit ribosomal RNA", at positions 30 to 507 of the family's 1533-position model. The record is from RNAcentral.
AUUGAACGCUGGCGGCAGGCCUAACACAUGCAAGUCGAGCGGAUGAAGGGAGCUUGCUCCUGGAUUCAGCGGCGGACGGGUGAGUAAUGCCUAGGAAUCUGCCUGGUAGUGGGGGAUAACGUCCGGAAACGGGCGCUAAUACCGCAUACGUCCUGAGGGAGAAAGUGGGGGAUCUUCGGACCUCACGCUAUCAGAUGAGCCUAGGUCGGAUUAGCUAGUUGGUGGGGUAAAGGCCUACCAAGGCGACGAUCCGUAACUGGUCUGAGAGGAUGAUCAGUCACACUGGAACUGAGACACGGUCCAGACUCCUGCGGGAGGCAGCAGUGGGGAAUAUUGGACAAUGGGCGAAAGCCUGAUCCAGCCAUGCCGCGUGUGUGAAGAAGGUCUUCGGAUUGUAAAGCACUUUAAGUUGGGGGGAAGGGCAGUAAGUUAAUACCUUGCUGUUUUGACGUUACCAACAGAAUAAGCACCGGCUAACUUCGUG